UUGUCAUCCAUACCUGCUUUCUUCAUGUGUUUGUCCAGAAGGUUCUGCAGGUCUUGUUCCUUUUCGUUGUUAAACUGAGAUUCCAGAGCCAACAGGAUAUAUUCAUCCAGCAGCAUCCGGAUCAGAUGGAAGGAACCUGAGAACAACCCAGAUAGAAGUAAUUACUUUUGACCAGGGGUCCUCAAGGCAAGCCAAACAUCAACCAAAUAAUCAAAUCAUACAAUUUUAAAGAAAACUUAAUGGAAGAAAUACUUUGCUGGAUAGCUCAAUUGGUAAUUGUGCUUGUUCUAAACCAAAAGCCUAGGCUUUAAUUGCUGGGCUCCCUAGAGAGGUGUGUGACCUAAUUAAAAGGAAAUAAUCCACAGAUGCUCCUGGAUCAGAACACAGGACCUUGUUCUUCCUCAGUUUGUCCAGCAGGGUGACAGCUGGUGUGUUUGAGCGUUUUUUUGGGGCUUAGUGGGAGGAAGCAGACAAAUGGUCGGUGUUUAUUCACACACCGUGUUUGAACAGCGAGCACACGACCCCGAGAUAAGACUGUUUAAUCAAGACCAGUGGGGCCAUUACAAUUUAUGAUGCCAUUGUACAAAUGCACUGCGUGUGUGUGUGUUUAGAAGACGGACGCACAAAACUGACCUUCCAAAUGAUUGAUCCUAAUACAAAUAAUGCAACAUUUUUCCAGGUUGUGUCUCAUUCAUGUGUGCAAAAUUGUGCUGUUGAAAUGGAUUGUGGUUCUUUCCUGACCAAAGCUGGAGGCAUUGUUGAGCGUGAGGUUGUGCAUGACUCUGGCACCAAAGAAGCUCCACCUGAGCAGGAACUCCUGAGCUCGCUUCUUCACCGUGCGACCCGUCUGCUUGCUUGGCUGCUUGCCCACAAAGAAAACAAAAAAAAAAAAUGAAAAAAACAAGUGUGAGUCAACUUUCUGGUGUUUGCAGGGUGAUUUAGAUUAAAACACCUUGAUGACUUUGUGCUCCACUACCGAGUCCAGCCACUCGAUGAAGGACUCCACUGUAGCGUUCUUCCUCAGCAGUUCCUUUAGCUCCUGGAAGACAGUGAUGGCGUCGUCUGGAGGAAAACAAGUGAAGCAGGUGGUCGGGCAUGCCCUGCCAGAAGUGCAGCAGGAAGUUCUGGAUCUGCAAAAAAGAAAAUCAAAAGCAGACCAAUCAUUGAAGUUGUCUCUAAAGGACGAGAUGCUGAGCACUGGGGAAUUCUGGCAGCAGCGUUCCAGUUUUGGAGCUCAGAGAAUAUUUUCUGGUGAAUCCUCCCUGCCCAGAAUAUACACAUCUUUUAGAUCAGGGGUCUCAAACUUUUACAACAAACAUACUCUGGCCAGCAAAAAGACCAACUUCCUGUAAGCAAGCGGAAGUGUCUGUAGCUAUCUCCCGGUGAACUGAACAGUGUCAAAAUAUAAAACAUUUUACAAUAAAAUUGACAUUUGUAAAGACUUAAAUGAUACCAUAGCUCAGAGUUACUAUACCUGCUGGUAGCAUAGUAACAUUAUUUUUUAAAGCGAAGCAUACAUUUACAGAUAUAAGAAACGUGUGUGAGAUGUUACCUCAUUCUUUAGCUUGCUCCCGGAAAAUCUGUCAAAGAAAAGGUGAAGUUUUAUACGUAAAACUAAUCAUAACAUUUGGAAAUUGUCAAUGUUGACCAAAGUAAAGCAAUUGAAAGUAAAGUACCUGGUCAAACCUUUACCAGAAUAGACCGAGUGAUAGUAGGCACUGCUCUCUUUGAUGCCGAUGCCAUAGUAAUGAUACCUGCCGUAUAACAUGAUUAAUAUACAAACCCCAUUUCCAUAGGAGUUGGGAAAUUGUGUUAGAUGUAAAUAUUAAUGGAAUUCAAUGAUUUGCAAAUCCUUUUCAACCCAUAUUCAAUUGAAUCCACUUCAAAGACAAGAUAUUUGAUGUUGAAACUCAUAAACUUUAUUUUUUUUUUGCAAAUAAUAAUUAUCUUACAUUUUAAUGGCUGCAACACAUUCCAAAGUAGUUGGGAAAGGGCAUGUUCACUACUGUCUUACAUCACCUUUUCUUUCAACAACACUCAAUAAACGUUUGGGAACUGAGAAGACACAUUUUUGAAGCUUCUCAGGUGGAAUUCUUUCCCAUUCUUGCUUGAUGUACAGCAUAAGUUGUUCAACAUUCCGGGGUCUCUGUUGUCUUAUUUUAGGCUUCAUAAUGUUUAGUGGGAGACAGGUCUGGACUGCAGGCAGGCCAGUGUAGUACCCGGACUCUUUAACUAUGACGCCACGCUGUUGUAACACGUGGUGUGGCAUUGUCUUGCUGAAAUAAGCAGGGGCGUCCAUGAUAACGUUGCUUGGAUGACAACAUAUGUUGCUCCAAAACCUGUAUGUACCUUUCAGUAUUAAUGGUGCCUUCACAGGUAUGUAAGUUACCCAUGCCUUGGCCACCAAUAAAUCCCCAUACCAUCACAGAUGCUGGCUUUUGAACUUUGCGCCUAGAAAAAUCAGGAUGGUUAUUUUCCUCUUUGUUCUGAAAUGUGCACUCGUCAGACCACAGAACACUUUUCCACUUUGCAUCAGUCCAUCUUAGGUGAGCUCGGGCCCAGCCAAGCUGAGUCGGAAGGCAAAGCUCUCAAUUUACCGGUCGAUCUACGUUCCCAUCCUCACCUAUGGUCAUGAGCUGUGGGUCAUGCCUGAAAGGAUAAGAUCACUGGUACAAGCGGCCGAAAUGAGUUUCCUCCGCCGUGUGGUGGGGCUCUCCCUUAGAGAUAGGGUGAAAAGCUCUGCCAUCCGGGAGGAACUCAAAGUAAAGCCGCUGCUCCUUCACAUUGAGAGGAGCCAGAUGAGGUGGUUCGGGCAUCUGGUCAGGAUGCCACCCGAACGCCUCCCUAGGGAGGUGUUUAGGGCACGUCCAAGCGGUAGGAGGCCACGGGGAAGACCCAGGACACGUUGGGAAAACUAUGUCUCCCGGCUGGCCUGGGAACGCCUCGGGAUCCCCCAGGAAGAGCUAGACGAAGUGGCUGGGGAGAGGGAAGUCUGGGUUUCCCUGCUUAGGCUGUUGCCCCCGCGACCCGACUUCGGAUAAGCGGAAGAAGAUGGAGAUGGAUGGAUUUGGCUUUGCAAAGUAGAGUUUUAACUUGCACUUAAAGAUGUAGCGACCAACUAUAGUUGCUGACAGUGGUUUUAUGAAGUGUUCCUGAGCCCAUGUGGUGAUAUCCUUUACACACCGAUUUCGGUUUUUGAUGCUGUACCGCCUGAGGGAUCAAAGAUCCGUAAUAUCAUUGCUUACGUGCAGUGAUUUCUCCAGAUUCUCUGAACUUUUUGAUGAUUUUACGGACCGUAGAUGGUAAAACUUUUAAAUUUCUUGCAAUAGCUCGUUGAGAAAUGUUGUUCUAAAACUGUUAGACAAUUUGCUUACAAAGUGGUGACCCUCGCCCCAUCCUUGUUUGUGAAUUACUUAGCAUUUCAUGGAAGCUGCUUUUAUACCCAAUCAUGGCACCCAACUGUUCCCAAUUAGCCUGCACACCUGUGGGAUGUUCCAUAUAAGUGUUUGAUGAGCAUUCCUCAACUUUAUCAGUAUUUAUUGCCACCUUUCCCAACUUCUUUGUCACAUGUUGCUUGCAUCAAAUUCUAAAGUUAAUUAUUAUUUGCGAAAAAAAAAGUGUUUAUCAGUUUGAACAUAAAAUAUGUUGUCUUUGUAGCAUAUUCAACUAAAUACGGGUUGAAAAUGAUUUGCAAAUCAUUGUAUUCCGUUUAUAUUUACAUCAAUCACAAUUUACAAACUCAUAUGGAAACGGGGUUUGUAUCGUUAUACCUACAACAGUGUAUCAGAAAAUAAACUGCAGGAGUGUUCAAACUCACUUGGAAUGUCCUCUUGUUCCAAGUCUUCUUGUAGUAAGGAGAGGGAACUUCUGUCGUAUCGUCUGAAGAAUUCAUGCAAGUAUUAUAGGAGAAAAGAAAGAAAGAUAAAUAAAAAUGUAACUAUCUCAAUCAUUCAGUCGUCGAAAAUAAUGACUUUAGAAACAGCACUGAGUACAUUCUGAAAUGUUCUGUCGCUCAACAUACUUUUCCAAAAGUGGCAGCGCAAGCCGGUUCUAGUUUGACCUUUCUACAGAAGUCCAGGUAGUGAGCGUAGAGGAUGCAGCGAGGAAGACACACACCCUCACACACAAUGUAGUUUUCCUCCAGCCUGUUGA
This is a long non-coding RNA of Nerophis ophidion (straightnose pipefish), 4152 nucleotides long. RefSeq lists it as uncharacterized. The transcript is spliced from 3 exons. The record is from RefSeq and is a predicted model, not a curated record. Lineage: Eukaryota; Metazoa; Chordata; Actinopteri; Syngnathiformes; Syngnathidae.